This 66-nucleotide transfer RNA is filed under the name Mantis religiosa (praying mantis). Its description in RNAcentral is "tRNA-Leu". It matches the Rfam family "tRNA". From Rfam's summary of the family: Transfer RNA (tRNA) molecules are approximately 80 nucleotides in length. Lineage: Eukaryota; Metazoa; Arthropoda; Insecta; Mantodea; Mantidae. The record is from RNAcentral.
UCUAAUAUGGCAGAAUAGUGCAGUGGAUUUAAGCUCCACAAAUAAAGUUUCACACUUUUUUUAGAA